Anas platyrhynchos (mallard) is the source of this 981-nucleotide long non-coding RNA. RefSeq lists it as uncharacterized. The record is from RefSeq and is a predicted model, not a curated record. NCBI's taxonomy places the organism in Eukaryota, Metazoa, Chordata, Aves, Anseriformes, Anatidae.
CUUUCCUAAAGAGGGCAGUAGCCCUCAAUGACAGCAUUCCAGUCAUGAGAGCUGUCCCACAAAGACUCAGUGAUCGCAAUAUGUUUGAAGAAAGCUAGAUUUAAGAGGAUUCCCACCUGUCAGCAGAAGUGCCAGCUCCAUUAACCAGUUUCCAGCUGGCUUGAAGCAAUCAAGUGGGGCAAAGCAGCUGCAAUGUGGACUUACAGCCUAUACUGAAGGGACAGACAAUUCUGGAAGAAAGGAACAUGCAGUUCCUCUGUCUUCAACUCAGGAUGCUGAAACAGUAAUAGAGACCAUGGAAAUUUCAUAAAGUUAGCUCAUUCCUUGUUUUACUUUCAGGCAUGUUGAUCAGUGUGUUUGUACCACAGACUUUCAAUUUAAGGUCAGAUUGCUCUUCUGAGAAUCCUACAUUUCCAUGCAGUCCCCUUGUUUUAGGAACAUAUGCAGGAUGUUUGAAAACUAUUAUUUAUCCAGAAAAGCAGAUUACAGCUAUUACUGAGCACAUACUGCUAUGCAAGGGAAGUGGAGGAGUACUAAAUACCACAGCAGACAGUGUGGGUCUUCAGUGCACAAAGGGACUGAAAUGAAGAGAUGUUAAAUGCAUGUACAGUAAGAGAAAAAAGCUAAAAAGUCUUUUUAAAAGUAUGCUAAGGAAAAUUUUCAAGAGCAAUUCUGGUGUCAAAAGAGUACUGCAGUAGAUUAAUUUUAAACAAUGGCAUUUGGAUUACUAAUGCGUAUAGGGACAAAUGCUCCUUUUUAAUAUAAGUGUUUUUAAAACACUCUAAGAAAUGCAUUUUAAUGGAUUUAAUGAGAAUAUUUUCGAAACUUAAGAAAAACACCCUUAAAGGAUCUUGAGGAUCUAAAAUGUAGGCAGGGUGUUCCAAAAUGCAUUAACAUUUAUGUGGAAUGAAAGUUCAAACAAGACCCUUCCAUCUUAUGUAUGAUUCAAACCAAUAAAGAAAUAAAACCCUGCUGUGUCAA